AUACGGAGGGUGCAAGCGUUACUCGGAAUCACUGGGCGUAAAGCGCGCGCAGGCGGUCUUUUAAGUUGGAUGUGAAAGCCUACGGCUCAACCGUAGAACUGCAUCCAAAACUAUUAGACUAGAGUGUGGGAGAGGAAGAUGGAAUUAGUUGUGUAGGGGUAAAAUCCGUAGAGAUAACUAGGAAUACCAAAAGCGAAGGCAAUCUACUGGAACACUACUGACGCUGAGGCGCGAAAGCGUGGGGAGCAAACAGGAUUAGAAACCCUAGUAGUCC
This 274-nucleotide ribosomal RNA is filed under the name uncultured bacterium. Its description in RNAcentral is "partial 16S ribosomal RNA". It matches the Rfam family "Bacterial small subunit ribosomal RNA", at positions 523 to 796 of the family's 1533-position model. The record is from RNAcentral.